Molecule: transfer RNA, 72 nt
Filed under: bacterium
Lineage: Bacteria
Also listed under: 1 other name
Description: tRNA-Gly
Rfam family: tRNA
About the family: Transfer RNA (tRNA) molecules are approximately 80 nucleotides in length.
Source: RNAcentral
GCGGGUAUCGUAUAAUGGCUAUUACAUUACCUUGCCAUGGUAGAGAUACGGGUUCGAUUCCCGUUACCCGCU